GAUGAACGCUAGCGACAGGCCUAACACAUGCAAGUCGAGGGGCAUCGGGACGUAGCAAUACGUUGCCGGCGACCGGCGGAUGGGUGAGUAACGCGUAUGCAACCUACCCGUAGCAGGGGGAUAGCCCGUUGAAAGACGGAUUAAUACCCCGUAACACAGGGGCUCCGCAUGGAGAUUAUUGUUAAAGGGUCAUUUCUUUUUCAGGGAUGGUCCGGCUGCGGAUGGGCAUGCGUUCCAUUAGGUAGUUGGUGUAGGUAACUGCUCACCAAGCCGACGAUGGAUAGGGGAACUGAGAGGUUGGUCCCCCACACUGGUACUGAGACACGGACCAGACUCCUACGGGAGGCAGCAGUGAGGAAUUUUGGUCAAUGGACGCAAGUCUGAACCAGCCAUGUCGCGUGAAGGAGGACGGCCCUAAGGGUUGUAAACUUCUUUUGCAGUGGAAUAAAGUUUGCCACGUGUUGGCGAUUUGCAAGUACGCUGCGAAUAAGGAUCGGCUAACUCCGUGCCAGC
This 513-nucleotide ribosomal RNA is filed under the name uncultured bacterium. Its description in RNAcentral is "bacterial SSU rRNA". It matches the Rfam family "Bacterial small subunit ribosomal RNA", at positions 28 to 512 of the family's 1533-position model. The record is from RNAcentral.